RNAcentral lists this ribosomal RNA (429 nucleotides) under Bacteroidota bacterium. RNAcentral's name for it is "Bacteroidetes bacterium partial 16S ribosomal RNA". It matches the Rfam family "Bacterial small subunit ribosomal RNA", at positions 355 to 776 of the family's 1533-position model. The record is from RNAcentral. Lineage: Bacteria; Pseudomonadati; Bacteroidota.
UAGGGAAUCUUCGGCAAUGGGGGGAACCCUGACCGAGCAACGCCGCGUGAGUGAAGAAGGUUUUCGGAUCGUAAAGCUCUGUUGUUAAGGAAGAACGAGUGUGAGAAUGGAAAGUUCAUGCUGUGACGGUACUUAACCAGAAAGGGACGGCUAACUACGUGCCAGCAGCCGCGGUAAUACGUAGGUCCCGAGCGUUGUCCGGAUUUAUUGGGCGUAAAGCGAGCGCAGGCGGUUAGAAAAGUCUGAAGUGAAAGGCAGUGGCUCAACCAUAGUAGGCUUUGGAAACUGUUUAACUUGAGUGCAGAAGGGGAGAGUGGAAUUCCAUGUGUAGCGGUGAAAUGCGUAGAUAUUUGGAGGAACACCGGUGGCGAAGGCGGCUCUCUGGUCUGUAUCUGACGCUGAGGCUCGAAAGCGUGGGGAGCGAACAGG